GCGGGUGUGGCGGAACUGGCAGACGCACCAGAUUUAGGUUCUGGCGCCGCGAGGCGUGGGGGUUCAAGUCCCUCCACCCGCACCA
This 85-nucleotide transfer RNA is filed under the name Rhodovulum sp. RNAcentral describes it as "tRNA-Leu". It matches the Rfam family "tRNA". Rfam says of the family: Transfer RNA (tRNA) molecules are approximately 80 nucleotides in length. Their secondary structure includes four short double-helical elements and three loops (D, anti-codon, and T loops). Lineage: Bacteria; Pseudomonadati; Pseudomonadota; Alphaproteobacteria; Rhodobacterales; Paracoccaceae. The record is from RNAcentral. RNAcentral also lists the same sequence under 4 other names.